This 84-nucleotide transfer RNA is filed under the name Leuconostoc kimchii. Its description in RNAcentral is "tRNA-Leu". It matches the Rfam family "tRNA". Rfam says of the family: Transfer RNA (tRNA) molecules are approximately 80 nucleotides in length. Their secondary structure includes four short double-helical elements and three loops (D, anti-codon, and T loops). Further hydrogen bonds mediate the characteristic L-shaped molecular structure. tRNAs have two regions of fundamental functional importance: the anti-codon, which is responsible for specific mRNA codon recognition, and the 3' end, to which the tRNAs corresponding amino acid is attached (by aminoacyl-tRNA synthetases). tRNAs cope with the degeneracy of the genetic code in two manners: having more than one tRNA (with a specific anti-codon) for a particular amino acid; and 'wobble' base-pairing, i.e. permitting non-standard base-pairing at the 3rd anti-codon position. The record is from RNAcentral. RNAcentral also lists the same sequence under 2 other names. Lineage: Bacteria; Bacillati; Bacillota; Bacilli; Lactobacillales; Lactobacillaceae.
GCCGCUGUGGCGGAACUGGCAGACGCGUAUCGUUCAGGUCGAUAUGAGAGUAAUCUCGUGCAGGUUCGAUUCCUGUCAACGGCA